CAACGGCACCUGAACACGCCGUCAUCUGGUUACAGGCCUGUCCCCCGCCGAAGCCAGAUGUAAGGACAAAGGCCUAUCCCCCCCUCUCCGGGCCUUUGUCCAACUUCUAACAAAAACCGCCGUGGCCCCGCCUCCGCCAUGGCGGUUUUUG
Molecule: small RNA, 151 nt
Filed under: Pararhizobium polonicum
Lineage: Bacteria; Pseudomonadati; Pseudomonadota; Alphaproteobacteria; Hyphomicrobiales; Rhizobiaceae
Description: Alphaproteobacterial sRNA ar7
Rfam family: Alphaproteobacterial sRNA ar7
Source: Rfam by way of RNAcentral